RNAcentral lists this ribosomal RNA (331 nucleotides) under uncultured eukaryote. RNAcentral's name for it is "partial 18S ribosomal RNA". It matches the Rfam family "Eukaryotic small subunit ribosomal RNA", at positions 1470 to 1796 of the family's 1831-position model. The record is from RNAcentral.
CCCUUAGAUGUUCUGGGCCGCACGCGCGCUACACUGAUGAAUUCAACGAGUUACAACUUUUUGGCUUCCUUGGCCGAGAGGCCCGGGUAAUCUUGUAAACGUUCAUCGUGAUGGGGAUAGAUUGUUGCAAUUUUCAAUCUUCAACGAGGAAUUCCUAGUAAACGCAAGUCAUCAGCUUGCAUUGAUUACGUCCCUGCCCUUUGUACACACCGCCCGUCGCUACUACCGAUUGAACUGGUUUUUGAAGUGUAGAGAUUGGCAGGCAUGGUUUACGUGCAUUGCAAAGAACCACUCUGAAAAAAUCGUUCGAGAAGAAGUAAAAGUCGUAACA